This 234-nucleotide unclassified non-coding RNA is filed under the name uncultured fungus. RNAcentral describes it as "sequence contains ITS1, 5.8S rRNA gene". The stretch from base 186 to 234 matches the Rfam family "5.8S ribosomal RNA", at positions 1 to 49 of the family's 154-position model. The record is from RNAcentral. Lineage: Eukaryota; Fungi.
UCUCCGUUGGUGAACCAGCGGAGGGAUCAUUACAGAGUUGAAAAACUCCCAAACCCUUUGUGAAUCUACCUAUUGUUGCUUCGGCAGGCGGCCCCUGGGAGGGGCUGUAGCCUUUCGAGGUGCCUGCCGGAGGUAUGAAACUCCUAUAUCUACUGUAUCUUCUGAGCAUAAAUAAAAUAAGUCAAAACUUUCAGCAACGGAUCUCUUGGUUCUGGCAUCGAUGAAGAACGCAGC